RNAcentral lists this ribosomal RNA (478 nucleotides) under uncultured bacterium. Its description in RNAcentral is "partial 16S ribosomal RNA". It matches the Rfam family "Bacterial small subunit ribosomal RNA", at positions 28 to 523 of the family's 1533-position model. The record is from RNAcentral.
GACGAACGCUGGCGGCGUGCUUAACACAUGCAAGUCGAACGGUAAGGCCCUUCGGGGUACACGAGUGGCGAACGGGUGUGUAACACGUGGGUGAUCUGCCCUGCACUUCGGGAUAAGCCUGGGAAACUGGGUCUAAUACCGGAUAGGACCACUGCCUGCAUGGGUGGUGGUGGAAAGCUUUUGCGGUGUGGGAUGGGCCCGCGGCCUAUCAGCUUGUUGGUGGGGUGAUGGCCUACCAAGGCGACGAAGGGUAGCCGGCCUGAGAGGGUGACCGGCGACACUGGGGCUGAGGUACGGCCCAGACUCCUACGGGAGGCAGGAGUGGGGAAUAUUGCACAAUGGGCGCAAGCCUGAUGCAGCGACGCCGCGUGAGGGAUGACGGCCUUCGGGUUGUAAACCUCUUUCAGCACCGACGAAGCGCAAGUGACGGUAGGUGCAGAAGAAGGACCGGCCAACUACGUGCCAGCAGCCGCGGUAA